CUGAGUGAGGGCCUUCGGGGCUCGACCUCCAACCCUUUGUGAACACCAACUUGUUGACUUCGGGGGCGACCCUGCCGUUUCGACGGCGAGCGCCCCCGGAUGACCAUCAUAACACUGCAUCUUUGCGUCGGAGUUUAAGUAAAUUAAACA
This 150-nucleotide unclassified non-coding RNA is filed under the name soil metagenome. RNAcentral describes it as "partial internal transcribed spacer 1". The record is from RNAcentral.